GAGAAAUCAUAAACAUACAGUCAGGGACUUUUACUACUGCUUUCGAUGAUCUGAGACGUCUCUCCUCCUGGUCCUGGUAUGGACCGGGUGUAUCUCGAUCUCGACUUCGGAUUUCCCGACGAUGGAGCUAGAAAAUAGUGGUUUGACUGUGAAAUGUAGACUCCAAACUAUUACCUUCAGUUUACUUGCUACAUUAUCGGAGGACCACGAAAAAAAUGCAGCUACUACCCUGAAUUGAAAUUGAUAAAUUUUACCAAAUGGAUCGAAUUCGGGAAGGAUACAAAUUUUACCAAAUGGAUCUAAUACGGGAAGGAUAAAAGUGUUCUGACAAUUAUUUAAAGCUCUUAAAACUUCCCACUGCUAAUUAAAGGAAUGUUUUUUCUGGUGAGCUAAUAGCAAGCAAUGGGUAAUGGGUGUACUGUAAUGGUUCUGGUGAACUGGUUGCAAUUUGAUUAAGGGAGGUAUUGUAUGUGAAUCAUUUAUAGCGAAUUCGAAACCUGAAGGGAGUAGAAGGCGCUGUUAAUUGAAGCAGAUACUGUUUUUCUCAUGUUAAUU
Molecule: long non-coding RNA, 555 nt
Organism: Macrobrachium nipponense
Lineage: Eukaryota; Metazoa; Arthropoda; Malacostraca; Decapoda; Palaemonidae
Exons: 2
Source: RefSeq, a predicted model, not a curated record